This is a long non-coding RNA of Ictalurus punctatus (channel catfish), 2691 nucleotides long. The record is from Ensembl. NCBI's taxonomy places the organism in Eukaryota, Metazoa, Chordata, Actinopteri, Siluriformes, Ictaluridae.
ACAUCGCAGGAUGGAGGAGGAGACUAGGAGGGAGCUGGAUGAGAUGAGAGUGAAGGACCCCGUAAAAGGGAUGGUGGCUCUUGAAGAUUGAAUCUUCUGUAUAUAGACGGAGUGUGCUACAAUUUUUAUUGGUGUGUAACAGAGGUGCCGGCUGCAUUGCCGUAUUGUGAAAUUAUAGGCUUCCCAUGUCGUCACUUGUUAGGAAAAAUUCCCUCGAAAUAUACAUUAUAAAUGACUUAAUUCUACUUAAUGAGUGGCCUCAUGUUACACAGUUGUGAGUUUGAAAAUUUCUCAUCCUUCAUCUUUCUCCUCGUACUUCUUGAUAAGUAAUGUAAUCUAAGUUACAAUCUCUCUCACUCUCUCUCUAGCACUCAUUUAUAUAAAUAUUAGACAUCAGCUUCAUCAAAUUGGAAGAAUUCAUAAAUGAAAAUAACCAGGCUGAUAAUAGAGUAUAAGAAAUAGACACACAAAAAAGAUGAAUAGCACUUAUAUAUAACAAAACAAUCAUUUCCCAUGCACCAUCACAAAACUGACACACCACAGAGAGACACAAUAAGCUAAUUAAUAUGUCAAUAUCAGAUGGUGGUUCUGUAUAUAUUCCCUACAUAUUGGGAGGUGAGCUAUUUUCAGAGCUGUAUAAACAGUUUUUCCAGUAAUUACUCUUAGUAAUUAAUCUUAGAUGUGUUUUGCGGACCAAGCCGACUCUCCUCAGUGCUCUGUUUUGAACUUCUCGUGAUGUCCUUAUUGUUAUUUUAAAAUCUUAUAAUAUUAAUUACAUCUUCCACUGAAGCGAGAGCUCAUUUGAAAAGUGGGCCUCCAGAAUGACAGGUGCUCAUUUGUGUAUUCAGAGGUCAAGGCAGGGUGCCAGCCUACUAUAUUAAAUAUAUUAUUAUUCAUCAUAAGGCAGAGAAAGUCAAUAAAAUAAGAACACUGCAGUGAUUGCUCUGUGCCUUCUUGAGCUUCAUACAAGUUUACCAGCACAUCCUUUGUCUCACAGAGCAAGUGUUGAUCAGUACAUUGUGCUUCUCUAUGGAUCAUGUAGGAUGUUUCACAACCUUUUUUCGUCCUCUGUAAACAGAAUUUGUGCUUAAACAUUGUCCUUUUCCUCUAUUUCUGUCAUUAAGUGCUCAAUUUCCUUGUCAUUUCCUGUUUGCAUGUGGGAAAGGGCAAAAGAGAGUUACAGAAAUAAGGAAAGUACAUGUCUGUGUGUGCAUGCAAAUUUAUGCUAGAGUGUACAUGGCUCAAGCAUCCAGUCUCCAGCCAUUUUUUGUUGAGAUGACUUCACAGAUCAACAAAGCAUGCCAGAUUUUAAUAGUGCACAGGUAAAAUAUCUGUUUAUGUGUAUUUUUUUUUCAUUUAUGCAUUUUCAUUGAUGUAUACUAAUUUCCUCUGAAACGUAGACUCUACUUGAAAGAUAACAAAGGUUUGUUGUGCUUAUUUGAAGUCUUUGGCCCAUUCUCACACUUCUAACUGAUAAAAGGAAACUUUUAUCCAGAUUUUAGCAAUAAUGUUCACAUUUCCAUCUCAUCUCACAGCUUUUUUCAAAACUAAAACUUGACUCAGUGUCUUUUAGUGAUUAAUUCAUACUGUUCCCAAAAUGUUGCUAAGUGUCAGCACUCGACUGGAUUCAGGAAACAAGGAUUAAUUUGAGUAUGGUUGUCUGACUGUAUUUUCUAUGUAUAACACAGUGUGUGUGUGUGUGUGUGUGUGUGUGUGUGUGUGUGUGUGUGUGUGUGUGUGUGUGUAUCUGAAGUUAUGUUAUCAGUGUUUGAGGGAUGUUUAAAAUAUGGAUGGGCUGAGGGUUGCACUCUCAUCCAUGUAACUGAGUUACACAUUCAACACUGUACUAUCCCAUUAGCAAUACUCCACAACUGCAUCGGCCCUCAGAACCCUAUCAUGGAGCUGUUUGGAUGAUCGUGUACUUUAAGGGAAAACCCUAAUGCUGCUGUUACUCCAUCAAGGCCAAUCUGAAUUGCAGUAACACACUGAUUUGCUUUUUGCACUACUUAGUGCAGUUUGGUUCUGUUCUUUCAGGAUGAACAGCUGGAAUGAGAAUCGAUUCUGAACUAUUCGGUUCUGCUCUUUAAAUCAUAAAAUGUAAUAAAUUGUUAACAUAAUGGCUUUUCAGUGUCCUCAGACACCACCUCUUUGGCAGGAUAGUGUCGAAAAAUAUAUUUUUGUUCCCUAUUGUCGUCGUACCUGCAGUAUGUCUUUAGUCUCCGAGCUCUGCUGCUGCCUAUUAUAAUAGGUGAGGUCCUUCCCAGAUGUCACCACCACUUUUUACUGGGCUCAGAGCAGUUUUGCCAUUUCUUCAUUAUACUAAAAUAGAGCAAAACUGGACCAGUACAGGGAAGCUUCUAUCCAGAACAUUUUAAUAAAAAUGAGAGUCUGAAUAAGAGGUGACUUAAAAGCAGAAUAUCAAAUGACCUGAUUCCUCACCUGUACAGGAAGCAGAUAAUUGUGCAAAGAGACUCUCAUAUAGCUAUGUUAUUAUUAAAGUUCUCGUUUUGUCAUCAGGUUUACAAAUCGGUUAUUUCAGAAUUAGAAAUGAUUCAUUUUUAAAUGUUUUUGUUUAAUGUUGCUCCCUUGCUUGUUAUCUGUUUUUAGUUAAUUUUACUGUGAAUUUGUGCCUUUUGUCAUUUUAUCUUCUGAACUACAUGGAGAUGUGAAUAAAAUAAAUAUGGAAAAAAA